Meleagris gallopavo (turkey) is the source of this 554-nucleotide non-coding RNA. The record is from RefSeq and is a predicted model, not a curated record. NCBI's taxonomy places the organism in Eukaryota, Metazoa, Chordata, Aves, Galliformes, Phasianidae.
UUAGUCUUUACAGUGUAACAGUUACAGAAUAUGAGUGUAUCAUAUUCAUCUGUUUGCCAGCUGUGGAGCAUCCCAUCCAAGCAACAUAAGAUUUCCCCAAGGAGAAGAAGAGGAAUGGGAGUUUGUAGGAAGGGCUGACUCUGAAGCCACCGUGCUUUUCUACCGUUGGCCUAUGGCAGUCUACCAAGCCCAGACACAUGGCUCUUGUGACAGUCCCUUUGGUGGGGUCUGCUUUGGGAUGAUGCUGGUCAGGCUACACUUUAUUCUGUGAAUGAUAUUCUUAGCUGUCAAAGAUUGCUUUAUAUUCUAAUGUAACUUGGUAAUGUGUCUCCAGUAGGGUGGACCAUAAAACCGUGUCAAUCUGGGUACCCUGUAAGCUUUCUGAUCUGCUUAGUGGGUAGCCAGUGUUCCUGAUGCAUGGCUAGCUGUAGGAUCACGCACUUUAAGAGGAGAACUGGGAGAAAUCUUGCAUUCACAUGGGAACAUAAAACUCAUCUCUUAACUGAAGCUAUAUUUCCAUUGCACUAUUAAAAAAAAGAAGGAAAAAAAAAAAA